This is a long non-coding RNA of Culex quinquefasciatus (southern house mosquito), 451 nucleotides long. RefSeq lists it as uncharacterized. Lineage: Eukaryota; Metazoa; Arthropoda; Insecta; Diptera; Culicidae. The record is from RefSeq and is a predicted model, not a curated record. The transcript has 3 exons.
ACCAACUACGAGGUGUUUUCGAUACCUUCUCGUUCCUCAGCCCUGGCUGUCAAUCGUCGUAACCAUCGAAUCUUUCAAGGCCGGUUCCGGCGAUGUACUCGCCAGGAGACAGCCCAACGCAAACAAGCUUGAUCAUUUGAGCGGCCAACAUUCUGGUUGACAUCAUAUCACCUUUUGAAGGAAAAAAGGCUGUUCCAAUCAAGCAAAACAACUGGUGGAGGGCUCUGACCAGCUGGAAUGUGCUGUUGUAAACGAACAGCCGGACACCAAGGACUCGACAUCAUCAUCAGCACCACUUUGAUCACCCUUGAUUUUUCCUUGCCAAAAAGGGCCACCCCAAGCAAGGAGGCGAAUGGUAAGGAAUGCCAGUGCCUGACCUCCACAAUCGCUGGACUCGAUCCGAUUUUCGCCGAGCAAGUCUCGUGGCGGGGUUGCUGCGGGGACGGAUAGC